AGUGAACGCUGGCGGUAGGCCUAACACAUGCAAGUCGAACGGCAGCACAGUAAGAGCUUGCUCUUACGGGUGGCGAGUGGCGGACGGGUGAGGAAUACAUCGGAAUCUACUUUUUCGUGGGGGAUAACGUAGGGAAACUUACGCUAAUACCGCAUACGACCUACGGGUGAAAGCAGGGGAUCUUCGGACCUUGCGCGAUUGAAUGAGCCGAUGUCGGAUAGCUAGUUGGCGGGGUAAAGGCCCACCAAGGCGACGAUCCGUAGCUGGUCUGAGAGGAUGAUCAGCCACACUGGAACUGAGACACGGUCCAGACUCCUACGGGAGGCAGCAGUGGGGAAUAUUGGACAAUGGGCGCAAGCCUGAUCCAGCCAUACCGCGUGGGUGAAGAAGGCCUUCGGGUUGUAAAGCCCUUUUGUUGGGAAAGAAAAGCAGCAGGUUAAUACCCCGCUGUUCUGACGGUACCCAAAGAAUAAGCACCGGCUAACCUCGU
Molecule: ribosomal RNA, 490 nt
Filed under: uncultured bacterium
Lineage: Bacteria
Description: partial 16S ribosomal RNA
Rfam family: Bacterial small subunit ribosomal RNA
Source: RNAcentral